RNAcentral lists this transfer RNA (76 nucleotides) under Candidatus Roizmanbacteria bacterium. RNAcentral's name for it is "tRNA-Ile". It matches the Rfam family "tRNA". From Rfam's summary of the family: Transfer RNA (tRNA) molecules are approximately 80 nucleotides in length. The record is from RNAcentral. Lineage: Bacteria; Candidatus Roizmaniibacteriota.
GGGCAUGUAGCUCAGCGGUUAGAGCGCCACUCUUAUAAAGUGGAAGUCGAUGGUUCGAAUCCAUCCAUGCCCACUA